GGGCUGGGGCUCAGUGGUAGAGUGCUCACCUAGUAUGCGUGAGGCACUGGGUUCGAACCUCAGCACUACA
This 70-nucleotide transfer RNA is filed under the name Marmota monax (woodchuck). RNAcentral's name for it is "tRNA.Thr". The record is from RNAcentral. Lineage: Eukaryota; Metazoa; Chordata; Mammalia; Rodentia; Sciuridae.